GACGAACGCUGGCGGCGUGCUUAACACAUGCAAGUCGAACGGAAAGGCCCUGCUUGCAGGGUGCUCGAGUGGCGAACGGGCGAGUAACACGUGGGUGAUCUGCCCCUUACUUUGGGAUAAGCCUGGGAAACUGGGUCUAAUACUGGAUAGGACCAUGCUGUAGGUGGUGUGGUGGAAAGAUUAGUUUCGGUAAGGGAUGAGCUCGCGGCCUAUCAGCUUGUUGGUGGGGUAAUGGCCUACCAAGGCGUCGACGGGUAGCCGGCCUGAGAGGGUGGACGGCCACAUUGGGACUGAGAUACGGCCCAGACUCCUACGGGAGGCAGCAGUGGGGAAUAUUGCACAAUGGGCGCAAGCCUGAUGCAGCGACGCCGCGUGGGGGAUGACGGCCUUCGGGUUGUAAACUCCCUUCAGCCAUGACGAAGCCCUUGUGGUGACGGUAGUGGUAGAAGAAGCACCGGCUAACUACGUG
RNAcentral lists this ribosomal RNA (469 nucleotides) under uncultured bacterium. RNAcentral's name for it is "partial 16S ribosomal RNA". It matches the Rfam family "Bacterial small subunit ribosomal RNA", at positions 28 to 507 of the family's 1533-position model. The record is from RNAcentral.